RNAcentral lists this long non-coding RNA (211 nucleotides) under Mytilus galloprovincialis (Mediterranean mussel). Lineage: Eukaryota; Metazoa; Mollusca; Bivalvia; Mytilida; Mytilidae. The record is from RNAcentral.
CCCCCGAUCUUUUCUAUAGUAAUUUAAGCCAAGGUGAUAUAAUAACACAUUAAGUAAAACAAUACGGACAAUUUCACACACCACUUAUUUUUGGACUGAUUAAAUUUUCCUUUCACGUCUAAAUUACCAGACUAUUAGUGACAAGGCGAUAACACAUUACCGUUUAGUAUUUACGCUUUUUUCUUUUUUUUUUUUUAACACAUUACCAUUU